This 218-nucleotide long non-coding RNA is filed under the name Jatropha curcas. RNAcentral's name for it is "long non-coding RNA (JCUR_LNC003313)". The record is from RNAcentral. Lineage: Eukaryota; Viridiplantae; Streptophyta; Magnoliopsida; Malpighiales; Euphorbiaceae.
GCAAGUCGAAAUCACUUAAACAUUUCAUUGGUCCAAUUACAUCAUUUACCUUGCAAAGCAUUCAUUCAUUGGUUAGUUAAUCAGCAUGACAUAGUCUCGGGAUCCACCUCGGGUUCGUAGAUUGUGCCUUAAACAUUGGGAUAAUUAAUCUAGUAAUUAGGUUAAUUAAAAUUGGAGUCAACUUAGGGUUUUUUCCUAGUUUACCCUAAAAUAAUUAA